CCUACGGGAGGCUGCAGUGAGGAAUAUUGGUCAAUGGGCGUAAGCCUGAACCAGCCAAGUAGCGUGCGGGAUGAAGGCCCUAUGGGUUGUAAACCUCUUUUGUACGGGGAUAACACCCUCCACUUGUGGCCGUCUGCAGGUACCGUGCGAAUAAGGCCCGGCUAAUUCCGUUCCAGCAGCCGCGGUAAUACGGAGGGCCCGAGCGUUAUCCGGAUUUAUUGGGGUUAAAGGGAUCGUAGGGGGGCGUUCAAGUCAGCUGUAAAAUUGCGCGGCUCAACCGAGCCCCGCAGUUGAAACUGGGUGCCUUGAGUGGACGAGAGGCAGGCGGAAUUCGUGGUGUAGCGGUGAAAUGCAUAGAUAUCACGAAGAACCCCGAUUGCGAAGGCAGCCUGCCGGCGUGCGACUGACGCUGAGGCUCGAAAGUGUGGGUAUCAAACAGGAUUAGAUACCCGGGUAGUC
This 459-nucleotide ribosomal RNA is filed under the name uncultured bacterium. Its description in RNAcentral is "partial 16S ribosomal RNA". It matches the Rfam family "Bacterial small subunit ribosomal RNA", at positions 338 to 795 of the family's 1533-position model. The record is from RNAcentral.